Molecule: ribosomal RNA, 460 nt
Filed under: uncultured bacterium
Lineage: Bacteria
Description: partial 16S ribosomal RNA
Rfam family: Bacterial small subunit ribosomal RNA
Source: RNAcentral
CCUACGGGAGGCAGCAGUGAGGAAUAUUGGUCAAUGGGCGUAAGCCUGAACCAGCCAAGUAGCGUGCAGGAUGACGGCCCUAUGGGUUGUAAACUGCUUUUAUACGGGAAUAAAGUGCGUUACGUGUCGGGUUUUGUAUGUACCGUAUGAAUAAGGACCGGCUAAUUCCGUGCCAGCAGCCGCGGUAAUACGGAAGGUCCGGGCGUUAUCCGGAUUUAUUGGGUUUAAAGGGAGCGUAGGCCGCAUGUUAAGUCUGCGGUGAAAUGGCGGGGCUCAACCCUGGCCUUGCAGCGCGAACUGGCGUGCUUGAGUCCGCGGAAGGCAGGCGGAAUUCGUGGUGUAGCGGUGAAAUGCUUAGAUAUAACGAAGAACCCCGAUUGCGAAGGCAGCUUGCGGCAGCGGAACUGACGCUGAUGCUCGAAAGCGCGGGUAUCGAACAGGAUUAGAUACCCGGGUAGUC